This 5460-nucleotide long non-coding RNA is filed under the name Phaseolus vulgaris (common bean). RNAcentral describes it as "long non-coding RNA (PVUL_LNC002305)". The record is from RNAcentral. Lineage: Eukaryota; Viridiplantae; Streptophyta; Magnoliopsida; Fabales; Fabaceae.
AUAAUUAAGAAAUCGACUGACAUAUAUGUUCUUGAGAGCUGAUUUUAGAGUUGAUCAUGUUUUGGCGAGCUAAAGACAAAAUACAAGAAAUUGACCCCACAAACAGCCAAUUCUUGAAUGCAAGUGGAAUAGCUGGUUGAGAGUGCAUUUCCUCACAUAGUUGGACAUAGAGGCUGCAGUUUGUGAGCUACUCACCAAAAUUUAACGUCAAAUUAUAAGAAAUGCUGAGGUAGAUUCAGUUUACCCCAUCAUGCACAUAUGAUAUUUCAGCUUUUGGGCCCCUCAGUUGCCAAGCAAAUGUGACAUUGCCAUGUGUUACAGAGGACUAUGUGGGGUUCAGAGUUCAAACUAUGCGAGGGGCCAUUUGCUUGUAGGCCUAAGGUAAGGGAUCAUGUGCCACAUGCAUGGAACUGUGGACAAUAUGAUAGCCAUGGUUGGUCCUAGUAUCAUCCAUCAAUUGCCAGUGGCUGAAAGAACUUCUUGGUACAGUUGGGUCUUUUGGUUUGGAGCUAAUUCCAGAAGCUUUGAGUGGUCGCAUACUCAUCAUUUAUGAUGCUUUGCAUUGAAAUAUUGGCUGAAACAUAGAUGGCAUGGCCAAGAGGGAACUAAAGGAAACACAGCAUCCACCAAGGUAAGAUUACAAUAAGAUCUUGACAAUUCCUUUUUGAAUUUCCUAGUACUUAGAUACAGCUAUGUAGAGAAGAUAUUUUCUUUGUGAUCUAUGAAAGUGAAAAGAGAGGCAUUGACAAAAUUAUCCACACAAAGUUCCCUGUAGUACUUCUUUUUGCCCCUUUUUCUUCCUUUUAAACAUUUCACUCUAAAAUUGUUGAAUUAAGAAGAAAGUGAUCCAAUGCUAACCUUGUUGAGUAUAUGUUUCAUUAUCAUAUUGAACAGAACACAAUAGCUACCCAUAUUCAUCCAAGAGCAAAGAGUGAAAACAGAAAAAAGAGAGGUGAGAGGGAAGUUGCUUUCACCAUAUCAGUCAACUUAUCUUGUAUUUAGCAAUCAAUUAAUGGCUAAUAACUAAAAACUAAAAGGUUACUGUUUGUUAUGCAGUGCUGGUUUUGGCAAACAUCCACAUCUCUGGACCACUAACCUGUGGAGCACCUUUCAAGUACUAUUUUCAUGUUAGGUAACAUGGUUUGUAUAUUAUGGCUCCUAUACAUUUUCUCAAGUUAAAAGGACUGGUGGGUGUAGCAUAAUAUUGUCAACCUUUCAUCCUACAUAGGAUAGUUCUUGAUCAUUGUUACUGUGUGAUGGAUAAGGAAGUUAUCCACAUCAAAGGUCUAUGUUAUCUACAUGCUUCACCAUAUGCAGAAACUAAGAAGCUUUUUGAACCUGCAAAUGCAAUUUUCUAAUUAUGUCCGAUUAUUCCUUCUUUUCGUCUGUUAUUUAUAUCUUUUUGCAAACAUAACCACUGCCUUUACUUUUCUGAAGAAAAGCCACGUGUUGAUUUGUGGUGAACUUCUUAAUAUAAUGACAGUAAGUUUAAGUGUUAUAUUUCUCAAGUUUUAAUUUCAGACAACUUUUUAUAAGCAAGUUUUUUUAAAUUUUAAUCAGUAUAACAAGCUGACUAGAUAGGUUUAACCCUCUAAAAAGAAAGUAAACUAUUCACUAAUCAUCUAAUCUUAAAUUUAGAAGUUUAAAUAGUAAUUUGGAUUUGAGAUGAAAGGUAACCAAACAAUUCUCUUUAAAAUUUAAAUUAAAACAUCUAACCUACUUUGUUAUGUUAUUUAUCUAUUAUUUAUGGCGUGUUAUUUAUUAUUUAUGACGUGUUAAUUCAGCAAUUUAGAAGAAAAUUGUCCGUAGUGUGAAAAGAAAAUAACUAAUUAUAUGUGUUGUUACUAGAGAUGAGCUGGAAUCAUCUGAGGUGUACAAGUGGAUUGACCUCUACGUUUGAAGAGUUGUCGAGCUUUGAUGAUGAAAACCGAGUGGUAAUCCACCUCCAAAAGAUUUUUCGACGCUCAAAUUAAAAGAGUAAUAUUUAAGUGAGUAUGUGAGAUUGAGUUGAGAUGAAUAUACUCCCUAAAAUUAUAUUUAUAUUUAUAAGUUUUCAUUAAAAUAUUUGUACCGACUAGUCCUCGGACAUUGACGUCAGGGAUCGACAUCGGACCUCACUUACAGAGGGAGAGAUCGGACGUCAGUGGUCUGAACAACUAUAUUGAGCCACGUGAGAUGGGCCCCAGAAUUACACCAGUUACCAGCUAAAACAUCAUAUAUGAGAGGAAGCCCUAAGACACGAGGGAUCCAUGCAGGUGGUAUGUAUAUAGUCCUUGGAGGCGCUAAGGCCCGUUAGGGUUAGGGUUUCCAAGGGAAGGUGCAUGCAUGACAAGUGAAUACUUAGGGCACCCACAGAAUAAAUGGCCCCAGAGAUUUGGUGCACAAGUUGGUACCCAGGCGACCAUUCUGUUAGUCGUUGCACUCCAGUUAAGGGAAGUUCCAUGUGCCAGAUUACGCUAAGAUUGUGUAAUAGCGGCGCAGGGACAUUCUCCAAGGAACCCUAGACACGGGUAACAGAACAAAGGUAAACCCUAGUUUCAACCUAUAUAAAGGGGACUAAGAACCCUAGCAAGGCACACCGUUUCUAAGACUGAAACUACUUGAUACACUUAUUGUUUCUUUGUCCUAGUACUGACUUGAGCGUCGGAGUGCAAACGGCCGUCAAAGCGCCCUUUGUCUUUGCAGGUGAGAGAUUCUUCAACCAAGGAAGUUCGAUUCUCAGGCGGAGAUAGGCGGGCAAGAGACUGUCGUUCGAGUCAACCGGCAAAAACAAUAUUCAAUUAACUUAUAUCUGUUAUGAGAUAUCAAACCGAUUUUAACAGCAACCAAAACCAAAAUCAAUUGUUUAAAGUAUAUGAUCUAUGCACUUCUAUAUGUGGUUAAUGUCCACUAUCGCAAGUGAAUAUUAUGUACUCAAUAUUACAACAUCAAACAUGAUAUUAAAAUGGUUCAUAAAUUUUUGUUGCUUUGUAUUGUUUUAUCCACAUCUAGUGUUAUUUUAAGUAAUUUAAUAUUCAAUCUACUUUUUUUUUAAUUUAGACUUGAUUUUAAACACUUAAAAUUAAUCAUAUUUUAAUUGAUAAUUUAUUUACUGGUUUAUGUAUCUUUUUGUGUAGCGAAUGAGUUUGUAGUGCAUGUUUUAUAUGUUAAAAAUGAAAUCUAUUUAAGAUAAUUACUAAACGAGUAAAUCAAUUUACAAGUCUUUGUAGGUGCAGUCUUAAAUAGGUUGACUGAUUUGUACCUGUAUGGAUAAAGAGGGACAUAGACAGUACCUGGAACUGGUUGUACAAUUGUUGAUUUGUCGGUAUCCUUUUUACUCCUUUCUUCAAGUCUCCUCCUUUUGUUAUUGGUGCUUGGUCGAGGUGGACCUGAAAAAGGUACUCUGACGCUCAAGUAAGUACUCUGUGUAAAAAGUGUAUAUUGUAAAGUUGAUAAAAUCGUACCUUACAUCUUUGUAAAGAGUUUAUUUAUAGUGUUUAAUCAUGGACCCUUGUUGUGAUAGGCCGAGUUAAUCAAAUAUCAGUUGCUAACUGAUUUAUAGCAUGAUCCCUUAUUUAUAGGGAGGUAUAUUGGUAUAUUGGUAUGUUGGUAUAUUGAUGUCACCUGGAUUUGGUAGGACAUAAUCAUAAUUCGUAGGGAAUUUCCAUAAUUAUCAUUGUUGUCAUUUAUUGAGUGCCUUUAAUAUAUAUUAAUGCGGUCAAUCGGUCAUCGAGACCGAGUGACAUGGCUUGUCCGGUACCAAUCGGUACACUUGCCCCCAAGCUUGAGGAAUGUUUACUUUAGAAAAGUCUAGAUGAGAUUGUUGGUUGCUUCAAGGUAUGAAGUGACUUUUUUGCCCUUCUUUGAUUGUUGACCAAAUGACCUUAAUGCUUUUAAUCUUUUCAAUAGUUGUUCGAAUGUCUCUAUUGACACUUCUAUAGUCUUAACAAUGUAUGUCGAACGAUCGUUAGGACUAAGAUCCUUUGAGUUGCUUUAUAAUUUUAAAUGUUGAGCAUAUGCUAUAACUUAAAUAAGUUGAUCCUUCACUAGAUUGAAUGUCCACUUGAUACUUGAAUCAAAAUAAUUUAAGUAAGAUGACUCUUUAACAGAUUGAAUGUCGACCUAAUACCUGGAUCAAUAUGAUUUAAAUAAGCUUUGUCGAGCUUUAAAUAAGUCAAACACCGACCAGGCAUUGAGGAUUGUCGUUUUAAAACAGUUUCCUUAAUCGAAACAAACUUUAUUUUUACCAUUUGGGAGGGAUUGCCUCAAGGGCAAAACUUCCUUAGCCGAAGGGUGUAGAUUUAGGAUAUUGGUAGGGAUUGUUGCAUGUAGUGUGCCGUUCGUUCGGGAAGGGCUACUAAUUGUUAAGAAAACUUCCUUGACCAAAGAGUUUCAUGUAGUUUAAGUAAGCUGCCUUGAUCGAAGAGUUGCAUGUAGUGGAAGGACUACUAAUUGUUAAGCAAGCUACCUUGACCAAAGAGUUCCAUGUUCGGUUGGUAAGGGUCGCUAGUAGUUAAGCGGCUGCCAUGACCGAGCGGUUGAUCGAGAAGGGUCACUAGUAGUUAAGCGACUGCCAUUACUGAAUAAUAGUCGUUCGAUCGUUAAGGGUUGUUGGUAGUUAAGCGGCUGCCUUGACCAACCGGUUGAUCGAUAAGGGUCGCUAGUAAUUAAACGACUGACAUUACCGAGUAGUAUUUGUCGUAGCCACAAUGAGAUGAGGAGGUUCCACCUGUUGUCAAUGUAGUAUAUAUUGCAGAGAAUAAUACUUAUCUUAUUUUGGGAGUCAUCCUUUAUUUAUAGAGUUUUUCCUGAUGUCCUCCCAUUCGUCUUUUUUUAACGAGAAUAAUAUGACAAUAGAUUUAAAUGAUAAUAAUCAUAUAUGUUAUCUUCAAAAUAAUAUGAUAAAAUAUUUAAAUAACAACAAUUAUAUUUGUUAUCUUCAAAAUAAGAUCCCAAAAGAUCUAAAUGAUAAUAGUCAUAUAUGUUAUCUUCAGAAUAAUAUGAUAACAUAUUAAAUGUAUAUGUUAUUUUCAUAAUCUUGACCUAAGAGUCUUUGGGCAUCAGGAGGGAUUGCCAUGUUAAGGCAAAGAUUCCUUGACCGAAUGGUGUUGUCGUAGUCACAAUCUGAUGAAGGGGGUCCCAUUGUUGUCAAUACUCUAAUGAUCAAGUGGGUAAGAGCAUAACAUACAUCAGUGUAGUAUUUAUUGCAAAGAAUAAUACUUCUAUUAUUUUUGGGAUUCAUCCUCUAUUUAUAGAGUUUUGCCUGAUCUCCUCCAAUUCGUUUUUUUUUACGAGAAUAAUAUCUUGACAGAUUUAAAUGAUGAUAGGCAUAACAUAUUUAAAUAACAACAACAAUAUUUGUUAUUUUCAUAAUAAAAUCUUUAACAAAUUUAAAUAUACACUCUUUUCACAGAGUACUUACUUGAGCGUUGGAGUACCUUUUUCAGGUCCACCCCGACCGAGCACCAAUAACAAAAGGAG